UUGGUUUAGAAGGGAAAUUGG
RNAcentral lists this non-coding RNA (21 nucleotides) under Caenorhabditis elegans. Lineage: Eukaryota; Metazoa; Nematoda; Chromadorea; Rhabditida; Rhabditidae. The record is from RNAcentral.